This 83-nucleotide transfer RNA is filed under the name Pilatotrama ljubarskyi. RNAcentral's name for it is "tRNA-Asp". It matches the Rfam family "tRNA". From Rfam's summary of the family: Transfer RNA (tRNA) molecules are approximately 80 nucleotides in length. Their secondary structure includes four short double-helical elements and three loops (D, anti-codon, and T loops). The record is from RNAcentral. Lineage: Eukaryota; Fungi; Basidiomycota; Agaricomycetes; Polyporales; Polyporaceae.
UCUCUGUUAGUAUAUCGGUUAGUACACGCGCCUGUCAUUGAUAAUGGCCGCGCGAAAGCGGGGUUCGACUCCCCGACAGAGAG